GUUGGAUUAGCUAGUUGGUGGGGUAAUGGCCUACCAAGGCGACGAUCCAUAGCUGGUCUGAGAGGAUGAUCAGCCACACUGGGACUGAGACACGGCCCAGACUCCUACGGGAGGCAGCAGUGGGGAAUAUUGGACAAUGGGCGCAAGCCUGAUCCAGCCAUGCCGCGUGAGUGAUGAAGGCCUUAGGGUUGUAAAGCUCUUUCACCGAUGAAGAUAAUGACGGUAGUCGGAGAAGAAGCCCCGGCUAACUUCGUGCCAGCAGCCGCGGUAAUACGAAGGGGGCUAGCGUUGUUCGGAAUUACUGGGCGUAAAGCGCACGUAGGCGGAUAUUUAAGUCAGGGGUGAAAUCCCGCAGCUCAA
RNAcentral lists this ribosomal RNA (360 nucleotides) under bacterium M00.F.Ca.ET.191.01.1.1. Its description in RNAcentral is "bacterial SSU rRNA". It matches the Rfam family "Bacterial small subunit ribosomal RNA", at positions 235 to 612 of the family's 1533-position model. The record is from RNAcentral.